GUGUACGUGGAAGUGUACAAUUUUCUAAAAGAUUUUAGGAUUUGUGAUCUUACUGUUUUUUUCCUUCCUAACUUUGCAGGUAUUUCUUAGAGGCGCAAGAGACUAGCUGCCCAAAAUGAGGUAUGCAUUAUUAUGAUCGUCUUAGUUCUAAGAGGAUUGCUGCAACUAUUUUAAAAGGGUUUCAGUACUAGAGCUAUUUUAAAAGGGUUUUAAUAGAGAUUUCUGAUGGGAUUCCUUGAUCAAUUACAGGAGACAAAUACACGUUCUGUUGUUGGUUAGCUUACUCAGGUCGAGAUCUUAGAUGGUUACUUUUUUUCUUAAUUCAAGUUCAAAGUUGAUGGUUCACGUACAAUUGAUGGAUUUAGCCAAGGUUUGAUUUGAAAGUGAAAUUUUGUCUUCACACAUUUUGCUGCAUGUGUAGACAUGAAGUCCUCCUUUUUCUUUUUCAUGGUGUUACUGUAAGAUGCUUGAAUCCUAUGGUUGAGAGGUUGAUUUCAUUAGCAGUUAACAAGGUUUCAUUUCUUCAUAUAUACAGUAGAAGUUGACACUAUUUUUUAUACAGUUGAUAAUGUCAAAUGAGGCUCACUGCUCAAUUUUGUGAUUUCCCAAUUUCAUUUUCACAUGUUUUGACCAUUCAGUUUGUCCGAAAUAGAAUACAAUCAAGACAAACAUUUACCGUAAGUACAACUCAAAACAAAAAAUAAUAGUACGCACGCGUCACGCAUAGCUCUUUCGCAUGCUAGCAUAAAUACUAGGGUAUAAACACACGCACGAGUGUGGCCUUUUCGCGCACGUAUAGAGAGAAAAUUCAUACGUCUUUCAAAAUCACAUGUGUUUGGAAGAAUGACCUGCAACCGAAUACGAUUUUAAUAUACUGAUGAAGUUCCUCAAUUUAUUUCUAUUUUCUGUAUUGGGAGCUUGACGUACUACCAUAAUUAUAUGGUUCAGUAAAAAAAAAGACAAAAAGUGACUUUUUUUUUAAUGCUUAGCAUAUCAUAAAGUUUUCUAUCUAUGAUUUUCUCUAUAUUGUAUUAUUAGAGCUCUGUUAAAUUAGGCUUUAUUAAGUGAGCACACUUAUUGUACAUUUGAGUAUGACCAAAAGAAAAUGAUCAUAUAUCAAAAUAGAAUAAUUAGCCUUUCAAGAGACAUGCCAGUCUUCACAAUUUGAAAGCGAUAAUUUACAAGCAUGAGCGCACUUGCGUGUAGGAAGACUAGAUGUUGAUCAAAUACCCAAACACUAGGCUAUAUUAAGUGAGCAUACUUAUUAUUGUCUGUUUUCAUAAAGGAUUGACGGAAAAGGAUUACAACUCAAAAUAGAAUAAUUAGUCGUUCACGAGACAUGUCAAUCUACAAACUUCAAAAACGAUAUUUGACACGCUUGAGCGCGGCCCUUCUGUAGGUUCUUAUCAAGUCACGUGUAAGUUUUGGUAGAUACCACUAUAUUAGCUCAGGGUACUUCAUGACGAAAAAAAACAUAUGCACGCGUGAGUGCAGACCUUCCGCGUGCAGGAAGGCUAGUAAAAUUUAGAAAGGAAUUUGUUUUUCAAAUUAUCCUCGAGGAAAAUUAUUGAUGACCCGGACCACCACGUCGUAUUUGGUUCAUUCUAAUACUAUUGGUCUAAACUUUUUUAUCUUAUUUCUGAUUGAUCUAUUUAUUUACCUCUAUUUUUUUUUCUCAUCUUUAUUGAUCCCCAUAGAAAAUUGAGUUACGUGGUGUACCGGUACCAGGGAAUAAUUACUCUACUCUGAAAGUUAGAUCGGUGAAUAAUUGGUAUAGGUGAGGUGGGACAGGGAAGAAAAUGUUAUAUGGUCGUCAGCUUGUCCUUCUCUUGGCUAGUGCAACCGAACCACUCUUUCUUUUUUCUUUUUUUCUUUUUUUUUUCUUGUUAUUCUUCCGAAAAAAAGUAGUUGUUGAGUCUUUCCCCAAGAGUGGGCCCCACUCGACACCUGAACGCAAAAACCCAUUUGUGGUGGUAUGGUGAGCCACGUCACCCCAUCCCAUGAUUGUCUGUUUGUCGGAAAAGUCACUACAGUGCGUCCUAGGACGGAAGGAGCCCGCCCUCCACAUACCUCAAACCCAACCAACCUCCAUAUAAACUCGACCCUUCAUCCCAUCUCAAACACACUCUCAACACUAACAAGGGUAUAUGCUUCCUUAAUACACAUUUUUCUCAAUCUACACUAGCUUCUAUCUGCUGCGUUUGUUAUACUAAUGUAUUACAACUGAAGUUUGAUCACACAUUCUUCUUCUGCUACUUCAGCACGUAUAGGUACGCACUGAAUAUAAAAAAUAUACAUAUAUGAAUAUGUGAAAUAGUGGAAGAGUGUGUCAUCAUUUUGAUUAUUUAAAGCCUAUUUUGGCUUUAUAUUCAGUGGUGUCUGUUUAAAGUUGAGUUGUGGGAUUCUCUCACUGUGAAAUGCUGCCCAUCUCUUUGCUAGUCUCAUUCAGUGUAUAGAUGCAGCUACUAGAACUUACCUUUAUGUGACAGAGCCUCAAAGUCUUUUUUCAUGAUUGCCUAGUUCUCAUCCCCAACUCAAGGAACAUGAAAACAAGUGUUGUUGUAUCGAAAAAUUAAUCGUUAGUGAACAUUUUUUCUCCAGGUAGGAUUCACGAAAGUGAAUUUUUAUGUAUGAAAUUUAAGACAUCACUACUCUUCAAGAGUCGUUCUAUACUAAACGUCUUAAAAAAGGUACUAUGAAAUUUGUCAACUGAGUUGCAAAUUAGCUAGAACUAGUUCUAAGAAAAC
RNAcentral lists this long non-coding RNA (2747 nucleotides) under Fragaria vesca (wild strawberry). Its description in RNAcentral is "long non-coding RNA (FVES_LNC000243)". The record is from RNAcentral. Lineage: Eukaryota; Viridiplantae; Streptophyta; Magnoliopsida; Rosales; Rosaceae.